CCAUGUAAGACGUGCCUGUUUCCCCUUCACCUUCUGCUAUGACUGUAAGUUUCCUGAGGCCUCCCCAGAAGCAGAAGCUACUAUGCUUCCUGUACAGCCUGCAGAACUAUGAGCCAAUUAAACCUCUUUUCUUUAUAAACUA
This 142-nucleotide non-coding RNA is filed under the name Pongo abelii (Sumatran orangutan). Lineage: Eukaryota; Metazoa; Chordata; Mammalia; Primates; Hominidae. The record is from RNAcentral.